AGAAACCUUGUCUCGAAAAACCAACCAACCAAUCAACCAACCAAACAAACAAAAAAACAAGUUUCUUCUUUAUGGUAGCUUUACGUCACUUUGGUUAGUGAGCCUUCACAAUUUCUAUUUGUAUUUAAAUACAAAGAUAUGUUAAGUGUAGAUAUUGCUGAAAGAAAAAUAAGCUCUCAAAAUCCUCAAUGACUUUACAUGCAUGAUUAACUUUAUAAAUGUCAGAAGAGGAUACUGCUUAUUUCUCUAUUUAUUAAUCAAUCAAAUUGCCAUAUCAUUGACAUAAGACAGUAAAGCCAAAAGAAGAAAAAUUAGUUCAUUUUAAAAUGACAGUAGGUUGAUUUCUCCAUAAGAAUGCUUAGACUGAAGAUAAUAAUUGGAGAUUUUUACUUUAGAUCACAUGUCAUAUACCAAAAAAAAUUGUUUAGAUGGUAUGUGUUUAUGUCAUGUGAAUCUUAUGAAAACUUUUUAUAUUUUUAAAAAGCUUUAUACAUGUAGAAGUUGCAUCAAGUUUCUUUUGUUAAUCAGAGCUUUGUAAAAAUUUUCAAGCUUGCUAGUGUUGUAGUUUGUCUUUUGCUGUUGUUUUUAAAUUUUCAUGAUCAUAGACUUUUAUUAAUUUAAAGAACAAAUUUCUGCCAACCAGUAAGAUUUAAUAUUUCCAGUUGUAAACUCUUAAGACUUAUCAUGCAAAAUAGCUGGGAAAUAAGAAAGUGGCCCUCUGGAAAUAGAUGGAACCAGGUGAGUCAGAUUUGAGAAACUACAUUUUUCUUUAUAUUGGACAUAAUUUCCCAUCCCAGAUAAUUCUCAAGGCUCUUUAUGAAUCCUAGUUUCUGCCUUUUCUUAUAUUUAUGGUUUCUCUAAAAUCCUCAGGUAGUGAAAUACCUGCACUCAUGAAUCAUCUGCAGAUAGGAGUGGUUCAGACACUCUCUGUCCAAAUUGAUAAUGGGUAUCUGAUCCACCGUGAUGCCUUUUUUUAAAGGUCUGUAUAAGGAGUUUGCUGGGAGAAAAUCGUUCUUUUUCUCUCUGAUCUUAUACUCAUUAUCAUGUCCAAUAGCUAAUGUCCUCAACAUAGAAAUGCAGAGUGGCUAAAACGAGAGAGCUGUUCCUGACUCUCAAGAUUAUUUUGUAAAAGGCACACCCAUGCCAGACAGAAUUCUCUCUCCAAGCUGUGCCAUUAAAAUCUUAAGAUAGAUGGACACUACUGUUUAUUGUUCCUCAUCAUGUCUAUUUCCUUUCUCAAGUUUGUAUUUAUGAAAUGGCAUUUUGAAAGCUUAUGUGUUGGAUAUGAAAUUUGUGGUUUUAAAAGCAUUCAAUUUAUUUGUACCACUUGAAGCUUUUUUCCUUUUUUUGGUAUGUAACUUAUCUCCCAUUUUAAGAUAGAUUGACUUAUUUGAAUCAUUUUCUAAGGAUAGAAUAGAUAGCAGCCUCCAGGCAGUGAUACUGUCGUAAUCAGUAGCACUUGAUGUAUAGCAUUCUUAAGAGUCACCUUGGAAAUAGUUAAAAAUGUAGAUUUCUAGAUUAUAACCACUAUGAGUGGAAGUGAGCCUAGAAUGAGUUGCUAUUUUUAAUAAGCCAGAUAAAACAUACGGCUGUCUUUUCAACAGGGACUUUAACUGAUAAAUUAUAUUCUGCCACUUGCAUAUAUAGCUUGUGUAUGCCUAGCAUCAGUCCCAUAUGCUGCCCUACUGGGUUCCUAAAGUGCAUUGUGAUUGGAUCAGCUGUAGGAUUUCCUCCUAAUGUUGAUUGUAAUGCCCCUCUCUGCUUUGGGUUGUCAGAAGUCUUACCUUGGACAGUGUCUCUUCCUGCUCCAGCACAAGUUCUCCUGUCUGAAGCCCACUCCGAUCCCAUCUAUUUUCUGAGCCCAGAUCAACCAGUUAUCACCUCUGCAGGGAAGCUUCCCUGACCUCCCUAAAGGCCACUCCCUUAUAUUACAGUUAGGGUUGAUUGUGGAUAUUACAUCUGGGAAGUAGGUCUAUGGGCACAGAUGUGAAAGACUGUGUACAUUAAAGUCAGCUUCUAAGAAUGUCUGUGAGGGGUCAUCUUGACUAAGUUAACUUAAGAGGGAUGAUACAAACUAGUUGUGGGUAGGACCAUUCCCCAAGCAGGUUUGUGUAAAAUGGAAAGAACUAGUGUGUGUCUAUUCACUGCAUUGACUGUGUGUGGAAUGCGAACAACUGCUUCAGUCUCCUGAUGUCUAGACUUCCCUUCUCUGACGGACUAGGACUUGAAGUGUAAACUAUAAGCAGCCUUCAUUCUUUAAGUUGCUUUUGUCAGAGUAUUUAAUCUCAACAGCAGAUAAGAAACUAAGUUGUACAGUAAGCACUCUUACAUAAUGAACCUUCUUGUCCCUCACCAAUAAUAUUUUUUAAUUUCAAGGGGAUUUGAUUACAAACAGCUAACAUUUAACACCAUUUGCCAAAAAAUGCACGUCUCAUGGCUGAAACCUUGCUUAAGGUGACCUUAAAUACUAUUAUGAUGAGGUGAAUAAGUUACACCAUUAUCAUUAGAGACUUUCCAGUUGGCCCAGUUCUUCCCUUUUUUGCCUUUCCAAUAGUGUUUGUUAUCCUAUUUCCAUGCUAGAGUUAGUACACCAUCAAUGGGUUUUAGAGGUAAAGUCUACAGAAAGUUGUUCCUCAAUACUGUCUCACACUGUUAUUUGUUGUCUAAACUACAAGCCACUGUUUUCC
Molecule: long non-coding RNA, 2687 nt
Filed under: Mus musculus (house mouse)
Lineage: Eukaryota; Metazoa; Chordata; Mammalia; Rodentia; Muridae
Description: long non-coding RNA chr15:40829124-40831811
Source: RNAcentral